ACUCCUACGGGAGGCAGCAGUGGGGAAUAUUGGACAAUGGGCGCAAGCCUGAUCCAGCCAUGCCGCGUGAGUGAUGAAGGCCCUAGGGUUGUAAAGCUCUUUCACCGGUGAAGAUAAUGACGGUAACCGGAGAAGAAGCCCCGGCUAACUUCGUGCCAGCAGCCGCGGUAAUACGAAGGGGGCUAGCGUUGUUCGGAUUUACUGGGCGUAAAGCGCACGUAGGCGGACUAUUAAGUCAGGGGUGAAAUCCCGGGGCUCAACCCCGGAACUGCCUUUGAUACUGGUAGUCUUGAGUUCGAGAGAGGUGAGUGGAAUUCCGAGUGUAGAGGUGAAAUUCGUAGAUAGUCGGAGGAACACCAGUGGCGAAGGCGGCUCACUGGCUAGAUACUGACGCUGAGGUGCGAAAGCGUGGGGAGCAAACAGGAUUAGAAACCCUAGUAGUCCA
RNAcentral lists this ribosomal RNA (445 nucleotides) under uncultured organism. RNAcentral describes it as "partial 16S ribosomal RNA". It matches the Rfam family "Bacterial small subunit ribosomal RNA", at positions 335 to 797 of the family's 1533-position model. The record is from RNAcentral.